This 229-nucleotide ribosomal RNA is filed under the name uncultured bacterium. RNAcentral describes it as "partial 16S ribosomal RNA". It matches the Rfam family "Bacterial small subunit ribosomal RNA", at positions 568 to 796 of the family's 1533-position model. The record is from RNAcentral.
CGCGUAGGCGGCUCUUCAAGUCAAAGGUGAAAUCCCUCGGCUCAACCGGGGAACUGCCUUUGAUACUGUCGAGCUUGAGUCCCGGAGAGGGUAGCGGAAUUCCGAGUGUAGCGGUGAAAUGCGUAGAUACUCGGAGGAACACCCGUGGCGAAGGCGGCUACCUGGACGGGUACUGACGCUGAGGCGCGAAAGCUAGGGGAGCAAACAGGAUUAGAUACCCUGGUAGUCC